UUACCUGCCCUUAAAAGCUGCUGCCUUCACCUUUUAAGUUAAAGAUCUUGCAGCUUGAUGUACUGGAAACUGGAGCCAUCUUAUGUCAUGCCUGGCCUAUUCUCCCUGUUCCCUCAGUCAAUAGGGUAUUCCCAAAGGUAUAUUUGCUGGUGCAUUGUUUAAAUCUGAAUGCCUCAAGAUGUGGCUUCCCUUGCUGGGGCCUUGGGAGAUGAUGACACACCCUGUUUAUUUUUCAAUGUAUUCAUCCUGUUGGCAUCCCACCAUCCUGGGAACUGAGACACCACUGCUCUCCUCAUUUGGUCUUGCAAGUGGGGUUGCUUCCUUGGUUGCCCCGAGGAGACAACAUAAAAGGAGGCUGGAAGCACAGCGUGCCUCUGACAGAUGCCUUUGUGAAGGAGUGCUGCGAGGCUGUGCGUUCUCCUCUCAAUUUUGAAACCACUGUUAUUGUUGUUUUCCCCAGCUUACGCAAUUCUCUUCUAUCUGCCAGCUUUUCCACGUGGAAUAAGACAGUCUGGCUGUAUUCUUUCCUUCCCCUGGCAUACUCUUUUCAGAGGCUGUAUUCAUGUGUACAGCCACAGCACCCCUUCCUUGGACUGGAAUCCCUUAUCAGCAGUAAAGGGUAAAACGUGAAGCAGGAAAUUGGCACGUGAGAUUAAAUUUAUGCUUGACUAAGUAUCCUGGAUGCAACCUGCCAGAAAUAAGUAGUCUUUUUCCUGCUCUUGUGGAUUUAUUUGCUAAGGAACAAUUCAACAACAAAGUAAUUAAGCCACAGGUUGGAUCACUAGCUGUUAUUUGCAAGUCCAUGCGUCACAUCCUAUAGCCUCCCAGGAAUUUCUGGCCCAGCUUGGCUGUCCAUCCUGAUACGCACAAUCCUGUGCUGCCUUCUGCCAGAGGAGCUGGUAAGAUCUUGGGAUGCUGGAGUUUGAUGAAGAGCAUGUUUUGCACAGGAGAUGCUGAUACCAGACAGUUGUAAUGCAAAGGACCUCCUUCCUCAUGCCGUCCCCAUCCUCCCCCCCUUCUUUAGACCCUGCACAGCCCCAUCUGAUCUGACGUUUUAUUUCCUGGCGAGGAAAUCCCAUCCCCAAGUAAUGCUGCUACAA
Molecule: long non-coding RNA, 1100 nt
Organism: Falco peregrinus (peregrine falcon)
Lineage: Eukaryota; Metazoa; Chordata; Aves; Falconiformes; Falconidae
Exons: 3
Source: RefSeq, a predicted model, not a curated record